GACCACCUUCUCACGGAUUCCAGCACAGACAUGUACGUGUGAAUGAGGUUUUAAGGAGAGCCCUUCAGUUAUUUAAAAAGUUUAGUAUGGACAUGACCAGUCUAUGUUACAAGUUAAACCUGGCUAUCAGUCAGGGAAAAACUGCGAUGGAUGCAAGGCUAUACUCAGAAUUCAAGGUGUACACGAUGCUGAGUUGUUCCCAUCAGGGCAAGGCCUGUUUAUGGAUGACGAAACUGUCCAGUAUUUGAAGAUUUUAACCGCAUGAAUAAAGUUUUCCUGCUAUGACGUGGAGCUG
Molecule: long non-coding RNA, 295 nt
Organism: Bufo bufo (common toad)
Lineage: Eukaryota; Metazoa; Chordata; Amphibia; Anura; Bufonidae
Exons: 3
Source: RefSeq, a predicted model, not a curated record